CCUACGUGUGGCAGCAGUGGGGAAUAUUGGGCAAUGGAGGCAACUCUGACCCAGCAACGCCGCGUGAAUGAUGAAGGUCUUCGGAUUGUAAAGUUCUGUGAUGGGGGAUGAACACAAUGACGGUACCCCAAUAGCAAGCCACGGCUAACUACGAGCCAGCAGCCGCGGUAAUACGUAGGUGGCAAGCGUUAUCCGGAAUGACUGGGCGUAAAGGGGGAGUAGGGGGUUUGGUAAGUUGGCGGGGUAGUUCCGGGGCUCAACCUCGGCGCUACAGUCCAAACUAUUAGACUAGAGUGCAGGGGGGGUAAGUGGAAUUCCUAGGGUAGCGGUGGAAUGCGUAGAUAUUAGGAGGAACACCAGGGGCGAAGGCGACUUACUGGACUGUAACUGACGCUGAGGCACGAAAGCGUGGGGAGCAAACAGGAUUAGAUACCCCAGUAGUC
RNAcentral lists this ribosomal RNA (443 nucleotides) under uncultured bacterium. RNAcentral describes it as "partial 16S ribosomal RNA". It matches the Rfam family "Bacterial small subunit ribosomal RNA", at positions 338 to 795 of the family's 1533-position model. The record is from RNAcentral.